UAUAGUUCUAGAGAUUGGAUUUCACUCAAAACCCACCAAAUGACUCCUCCCACAAUAUUAUGAUGUUCCCCAAGUUUUGGACUCAAUCCAAUAUCGAUCGGUCCACGAAAUUUGACAAUUCAGGUUCGUACCAAGUACGUUCUGAAAUGGAGUGGUUGAUGUAUUGUAUAGUUCUAGGGAUUGUAUUUCACUCAAAACCCACCAAAUGAAUCCUCCCACAAUAUUAUGAUGUUCCCCAAGUUUUGGACUCAAUCCGAUAUCGAUUGGUUCUUGAAAUCGUACAAUUCAGGUUCGGAUGAAGUUUGUUCUGAAAUGGGGUGGUUGUUGUAUUGUAUAGUUCAAGAGAUUGGAUUUCACUCAAAUCCCACCAAAUGCCUCCUCCCACAAUAUUAUGAUGUUCCCCAAGUUUUGGACUCAGUCCGAUACCGAUUGGGGCUUGAAAUCGGACAAUUCAGGUUCGUACCAAGUUCAUUCUGAAAUGGAGUGGUUGGUGUAUUGUAUAGUUCUAGGGAUUGUAUUUCACUCAAAACCCAC
This 534-nucleotide long non-coding RNA is filed under the name Prunus persica (peach). RNAcentral's name for it is "long non-coding RNA (PPER_LNC008692)". The record is from RNAcentral. Lineage: Eukaryota; Viridiplantae; Streptophyta; Magnoliopsida; Rosales; Rosaceae.